AUUGAACGCUGGCGGCAGGCUUAACACAUGCAAGUCGAGCGGUAACAUUUCUAGCUUGCUAGAAGAUGACGAGCGGCGGACGGGUGAGUAAUACUUAGGAAUCUACCUAGUAGUGGGGGAUAGCUCGGGGAAACUCGAAUUAAUACCGCAUACGACCUACGGGAGAAAGGGGGCAACUUGUUGCUCUCGCUAUUAGAUGAGCCUAAGUCGGAUUAGCUAGAUGGUGGGGUAAAGGCCUACCAUGGCGACGAUCUGUAGCUGGUCUGAGAGGAUGAUCAGCCACACCGGGACUGAGACACGGCCCGGACUCCUACGGGAGGCAGCAGUGGGGAAUAUUGGACAAUGGGGGAAACCCUGAUCCAGCCAUGCCGCGUGUGUGAAGAAGGCCUUUUGGUUGUAAAGCACUUUAAGCAGUGAAGAAGACUCUUCGGUUAAUACCCGGAGACGAUGACAUUAGCUGCAGAAUAAGCACCGGCUAACUCUGUGCCAGCAGCCGCGGUAAUACAGAGGGUGCAAGCGUUAAUCGGAAUUACUGGGCGUAAAGCGAGCGUAGGUGUCUUGAUAAGUCAGAUGUGAAAUCCCCGGCUUAACCUGGGAACUGCAUCUGAUACUGUUAGGCUAGAGUAAGUGAGAGGAAGGUAGAAUUCCAGGUGUAGCGCUGAAAUGCGUAGAGGAUCUGGAGGGAUACCGAUAGGCGAAGGCAGCCUUCCUGGAUCAUACUCGACACUGAGGCUCGAAAGCGCGGGUAGCCAACAGG
RNAcentral lists this ribosomal RNA (757 nucleotides) under uncultured Moraxellaceae bacterium. RNAcentral's name for it is "bacterial SSU rRNA". It matches the Rfam family "Bacterial small subunit ribosomal RNA", at positions 28 to 776 of the family's 1533-position model. Lineage: Bacteria; Pseudomonadati; Pseudomonadota; Gammaproteobacteria; Moraxellales; Moraxellaceae. The record is from RNAcentral.